Molecule: long non-coding RNA, 402 nt
Organism: Serinus canaria (Common canary)
Lineage: Eukaryota; Metazoa; Chordata; Aves; Passeriformes; Fringillidae
Exons: 3
Source: RefSeq, a predicted model, not a curated record
CUGCCCGCCGCCCCGGAAGGCGCUGGGCUCGAACCGGGGCCGCGGCGGCUCCGCCAGGCGCUCCCCGGUGGAUCAGGAGGCGCUGCCCCGGUGACCGGAGGUGGGAGAUGGGCCGGCGCUCCUCGGACACGGAGGAGGAGGGCAGGAGCAGGAGGAAGAAGAAGCACCGCCGGCGCUCCUCCUCCAGCAGCUCUUCCGACAGCCGCGCCUACAGCCGCAAAAAGUCGGGCAGGAAAUCCAGGUCCAGGUCGCGCUCUCGGGAUCUCCCGUCCUGGUCCCAUUCCUAUGAGAAAAGGUGCAUUUGUAGGAGUUUUUUUUGUAAGAGAAACUCUUUCGUGUUACUGCAGGAAGCUGGAAGGGUUUGGGUCCCACGGGUUGGGAUUUUAUGGCACAGGAUGUUCC